AUGCUUGCUGCUGAAAUUCAAAAAGAUCUUGCAAAUUGUUGCGCAGAAGAGGUCACCAAAGCAAUCAGAGAAAUUGGUGAUAAGAAAUUCUCUGUGCUUAUCGAUGAGUCACGUGAUAUAUCUGUCAAAGAGCAAAUGGCGGUGAUGUUGAGGUAUGUCAAUGAUAAAGGGAAGGCCGUGGAACGAUUUCUCUCUCUGUACCAUGUCAGUGAUACUACAUCAGAGGAACUAAAGGUAGCUCUUGUUGACAUUCUUGAUCAUCAUAAGUUAUCCAUUCAUAGUCUACGAGGGCAAGGAUAUGAUGGAGCUUCAAAUAUGAGAGGUGAAUUUAAUGGUUUGCAAAAGAAAAUUCUUGACGAGAACCCUUAUGCCUUUUAUGUGCAUUGCUUUGCACAUCGUUUACAAUUGGUGGUUGUCUCGGUCGCUAGUUGUUGCUCCUCUUUCAUGAUUUGUUUGAUCAUAUAUGUGCUUCGUGAGGUCAAUGAUGAAGGGCGCGGACCGUCUCAAGCGGCGGGUUUGAUAGAGAUAAUGGAGAGUUUCAAAUUUGCUUUCGUAUUGCAUCUUAUGAUAAAGUUGCUUGCUAUCACAAAUGAACUCUCACAAGUCUUGCAGAGAAAAGAUAUAAACAUUGUUAAUGCCAUUGAACUAGUUGGUGAUGUCAAAGCUCGGUUGGCCUCUAUGAGAGAAAGUGGUUGGGAAAGCUUGUUCGAUGAAGUCCAACACUUUUGUGUCACCAAAGGUAUUCCGGUGCCCGAUAUGAAUGAAAGAAUACCGGUCCGAGGUCGUUCAAGGCUUGAUGGUGUGACUUACACCAAUCUUCAUUUGUAUCUAGUUGAGAUCUUCUAUGUUGCCAUUGACAAGAUAUGCACUGAGAUGAAUCAUCGCUUUAAUGAAGCAUCUUCAAAUAUAAUAGUGGCCUUCUCAUGCCUUCAUCCAAAAAAUUCCUUCUCCAAGUUUGAUGUUGACAAGCUUGCUAGCUUAACUGAAGUUUAUCAUGGAGAUUUCUCUAGUGGUGAUCGUGCAAUCAUAAGAGACGAACUUCAGACUUACAUUCUUCAUGUACGAAGGCAUGAGGCCUUUUCUUCUUGUAAAGAUAUUGAAAGUUUAGCUACAACGAUGGUUGAAACUGAGAAACAUUUGGUUUUCCCACUAGUGUACAGAAUCAUAGAGUUGGCUUUGUUAUUGCCAGUCUCAACGGCAUCGGUCGAAAGAGCUUUCUCGGCAAUGAAGAUUAUCAAAUCUAAAUUGCGCAGCAAGAUGAAUGAUACAUGGUUUAAUGACUUGAUGAUUUGCUACACCGAGCGGGAGAUUUUUAAAGGACUUGAUGAUGAUGCUAUUAUUAAACGGUUUCAAGCCAUGAAGUAUCGGAAAGGGCAAUUGCCCAGGUCCAAUUAG
Molecule: ribosomal RNA, 1395 nt
Filed under: Triticum aestivum (bread wheat)
Lineage: Eukaryota; Viridiplantae; Streptophyta; Magnoliopsida; Poales; Poaceae
Description: partial small subunit ribosomal RNA
Source: RNAcentral